GGAUGGAACUUGCAGAGGAGCAGGAAGGAGGAGGAGAAUAAAAUGAAAUUAUGAUACUGGAUAUAAUGGCUGCAUUAGAGGGGGAGAUUGUGUGUGUGUGUGUGUGUUCAAACUCCCUUCACUAAUACCCUCCACUGAUCCUAAGAGUAGGAUACAUGGUCUAUGUAUUAGGGUUGGUUUUUUUUUAACUUUCACCAGAUGAGUAGCUCACCUUUUUUCCAAGUCUUACAUCUUAGAUAUCCCUUACACUACUUCUGGGCAAUUCAUUGGCCAGAUAUUGAGAACUUAUUCAUGCCUACUGAAAUAAGUUAACCCACACUAAUUCAUCUCUACCUAUAAAUCUACUUUCUACAACUAGUUAAAUGAAAUCCCCUUAGUCAAUAUAUAAAAGUGGGAAGAAAUUGAAGGUAGCAGAAACAAGCUUAAAGGAAGGGUCUCACUGAUAGUUGUCUUCUGGAGUUUUGAGUAGCUCUGUUGGAAAUCACUCUCAGCAUCAAACAGGAUUCACAGGAAUAGGCAAAAUCACAAGGAAAGCCACAGGAGAGAGAAUAUCUGGCUUUCUAGGUGCACCCCAGAAGAAUCAGAUUCAAACUCAACUCCUGGCUGCUUUAUUGUCCCACUCAGAAGAAGAAACUGCCUGUCCCUUCUCCAGAGUUCUGGAACCUUGCCCUUGCUUCUGCCCCGUAGCAUUUCCUGCUCCUGGUUUGUAACAUUGCUCUUGCUCCUGCUAAUUUCCCUUUAACACCACCAAAUGCUUUUUUCUUUCUUUUUUUUUGUUGUUGUUGUUUGAAUCAAAACUUUGUUUCUUCGGAAACCUUAAGAAAAGGAAAAAGUCAGAAGAAACCUUGGAAGACAUGUAUAAACUGAUGCAGUUAAAGGGGCAGAACAAUUUAUUCAAUGACAAACCUGGAAAGACAUUCAACCUUGAAAGGUUUAAGGAUGCUGACUAAUGAUGAAGCAUGUUAUCUACACUACCACAGCGAACUGAUGGAUUUAAAAAAAAACAGAAAAAAGAAAGAAGAGGAGAGUUGGUAUUUAUAUGGUGAUUUAAAGUUUGCAAAGUACUUUACAAAUAUGAUUUCACUUCUCUUCCUCUCAACAAUUCUGAAAGGAUUUUCUUGA
Molecule: long non-coding RNA, 1122 nt
Filed under: Monodelphis domestica (gray short-tailed opossum)
Lineage: Eukaryota; Metazoa; Chordata; Mammalia; Didelphimorphia; Didelphidae
Description: lncRNA (ENSMODG00000047475.1)
Source: RNAcentral